Long non-coding RNA from Mustela lutreola (European mink), 4044 nucleotides. RefSeq lists it as uncharacterized. Lineage: Eukaryota; Metazoa; Chordata; Mammalia; Carnivora; Mustelidae. The transcript has 2 exons. The record is from RefSeq and is a predicted model, not a curated record.
AGGCCUCAUGGGUGAGUUGCAGGCAGGGAAUGUGGAAGGCUCCUGAUCGGUCGUCGGCGGGGGUCCCGGGAGGGCUGCUCUGUCACUGGAGCGCUGGUCCUUGGUUGGGCGUCUGCCCGGCACAGUGAGGCACAGCACGCUCAUCUAGGAGGUGGGGGUCUGCUCUUCUCACGGGUGUCCGCUGUCAUGAGGAGGGCAGGGGGCUGGAUACCCCUCACCUGUCCCUCCCCCAGGUACUUGUCACCCUGGUCCUGGACAGACACUGCAGGUCCCAAGCUGCCUGGCCCCGCUGUGUCCUCUCCAGGUUUAUUUCCCUCAUCUCCAAGAUGAGAAGUGUGGCCAGCAGCUUUCCUGGGCCCCUUCCUCUUCUGGCUCUGACCUGCAAGGGACUUGGCCCCUGGAGGAGUUUCUCAGGGCUGCUGAAAGCAAGUGCCACAGACCGAGUGGCCGGAAACAGCAGCCACGGACUCUCCCACAAUUUCUGGGGGCUGGAAGUACAAAUUCAAGGUGUCGGCAGGGCUCGUUCCUUCUGGACGCCGUGAAGGAGCUGCUGCUCUGUACCCCUCUCCUGGCUUCUGGGAAUUGCUGCGCUCCCCGGUGGUCCUUGGCCUGUAGGACAUCAUGCAGUCUCUGCCUGUUGUCACAGAGCCUUCUGUGUCCCCAAGCUCUCCUGCUGCUCUCUUUUGAGGACACUCAUCCCUGGACUUGGGUCCCUGCAUAAUCCUAGGUGAUUGAAUCUCCAGAUCUUAAACUUAAUUAUAUCAGCAAGACCCUAUUUCCAAAUGGGACAAUGUUCAGGGGUUCCAAGUGAGCAUGUGUUUUUUGGGGGGAGGGGUCACCAUUCAGCCCACUCUGAUCCUGAGGUGUCCUGGAUCCAUGGAAGACUCCAUGUCCCAGAUUCCUUGUCGUCCCCCUCUGGACAUUUUGGUGUGGCCGCUAGCCUUUGCCACUGUGUUAUGUGCACCUGGUGGGGUGUGGAGGGCUCAGGCUUGUUGGAAUUCCAAGAGCCUGGAGACGGCCCCUGCUUCCUCCCUGGAGCUCCCUGGUCCUGCCUGCCAGGGGCCCGGGAUCCCCGGAACUCUGUGCUGGACUCUGAACUCUUUUUAAAGAUUGGGGGAAAAUAUGCAUAACGCACAAACUGCUGUUUUAACAAUUUGGGGGCCUACAGCCCAGUGGCAUUUAAUGAGAUGCACAGACUUGGGCCACCAUCCAUCCGUCUGCAGAACUUCACCUUCCAGCGUGAAACUCUGCUCUCACGGAACAUCAGCUUUCCGUUCUCCCUUCCCUCUGCCCUUGGCCGCCACCACCCUACUCUCCGUGUCCGUGAGCUUGACUUGAUUCCAGGUGCCUCAUAGACAUGGAAUCGUGCACUAUUUGUCCAUCUGUGCCUGGCUUAUUUCACUUAGUAUCAUCUCUUGGAGGUUGUGGUGUUGUAGCAGGUGUCAUUUUCCUUCCUAGUGUAAGACAGAAUGAGGUUCACUCGAUGGAUGGACCACAUUGCGUGUCGUCUUUUAUCUUUGGCUAGACCUUUACAUUGUUUCCACGUUGGGGCUGUUGUGACAGUUACUGCUGUGAACAGGGGCGUGCAGAUAUCCGCUCCAGGCUCUGCUUUCAGACAUACUGGAUCCACACGCAGACACGGCGUUGCUGGCGUUGCUGGAUCAUGUGGGAAUUCUAUGUUUAAUUUUGGUGGGAAGCUCCGUACGGCUUGCCCCGUGGCUGCACCACUUCCCAUUGCCACCAGCAGGGCACCAGGGUUCCAAAUCCCCCACCCCCUCCACGACAUUGCUAUUUUAUUGACUUGUUUAUUACUUUGGGUAAUAGCCAUCCUCAUGAAUGGCAAGUGGUAUCUCCCUGUGGUUUUGACGUGCGCUUCCCUAACUGCUUAGAGACGGUGAGCGCCCUUUCCGGGGCUUGUUGGCGUCUGUGUGUCUUUGGAGAACUGUUUCUUUGAGUCCUUUGUUAAGUUUUUAAUUGGGUCAUUUGUUUUUUGUUGUUGUUGGUCAUAGGAGUUCUUUAUAUAUCUUGCAUAUUAAUCCCUUACCUGAUACUCGAUUUGCAAGUAUUUUCUCCCAUCCUGUCAAUUACCUUCUCACGCCGUUGAUGGCGUUCUUUGAUGUGUAGAAGUUUUUAAGUUUGAUGAAAUCCCAUUUUUUUAUUCAUCCUUUUGUUGUCAGUGCUUGUGGUAUCAUUCCCAUUGUCACAAAGCUUUUCUCCUGUGACUUUUCCUAAGAGUUGUAUAAUUUUGGCUCUGGCGUUGAGACCUUUGAUCUGUUUUGAAUUAAUUUCUGUAUAUGGUGUGAGGUAAGGCUCCUGAUUCACUCCUUUUCUUUUCUCACACCCAGGCUGGCUCCUCUUGGUGGCAGGGAGUGGGGAAAUCCUGGGCUGGGCCAGGCCUUGAAUCCCUCCCCGCCCCAGGCUGGCCAUCAGAGCCUCAGCUCUGGCCUGGAACAUGGCUGGACAUGUGCUACGUCCCGGGGCAGCCCAAGCCCGGCCCUUCUGGGCUGACAGGGGAGGCCAGCCUGGGGUGUUCUGGGUUCCACCGGUAUGGAUGUUUCUGUAAUUCUCUGUGGUUCCCCUGCCCAGCCUGCAUGUGACACUGGCUGUCUGUGUGGCAGGGUGUGGGGCUCAGUGUCCAUUGGUCUGUCCCCAUGCUCCUCAGGAAGCCUGUCCACCUACAUCCUCUCAUGUGGCCUCUGCCAUCCGAACUUACGCCUCCUGCUCAGAGCUGGUCACCCCUCUUGUCUUCCCUUCCCAAGCCGACAGAAACUUCCAUCCUGAGGCUGCUGCUCAAACCCCUUUGCCCGAAGGCCCUCCAGCACUGGGCACGGCUUCACCAGCCACACACGGAUUCCGCUGACAGGGUUGGCUGUGGAUUCAGCUCCUUUUGGGGCUGGGCAUGUGACCGGGCAAAGGGCAGGGUGGGACCCGACCGAGAAACAGGGGAGAUUUCCUCCUGACAAGUGGCCUGAGCUUGGAGAAGUGUCUUGGCCACAGCUUGAACUCUGGACAGAUAGCAACGCGGAUUCCAGCUCGCAGUGGACAACACUUCUGCCUUUAGACCUUUCAGAUCCUUCUUCCUUUUUUUCUUUUUUUCCCCUUUAACAAAUGAGGAACCUCUGACUUGAGCAAAGCUGAGUAAACAAACCAACACACCCCUAGGAAAUUAGCAAAGAGGCACCAGCUCUGAAACUACAUGCUUCGGGGCUGGGUGGGUCUGUGGGAGCAGCUGGGUGCGGCGGGCCGCGGGGUGCGGGUGGCGGGAACCCGCGCCCUGUGCUUCCCGCCUGCUCUCCUACCCCCUCCCGCCAACAAUCUGUGGAGGUCCCCUCCUGUCACCCCUAGUGGGGAUCCCGCUUGCAGUGCCGUGAAGCCCUGUUCAUACCAGCCCACUUUUUGAAUAUUUCUUGAGGUCCCGCGAUGUGCAGGUGCUUGCCUAGGUUCUCCGCCUCUGGGAGUGAGGAGGUUACUGCCCUUGCUCCCGUGGGACUCUGUCUGAACCAGAUGCCAAGCAGUUAGCCAGUGAGCCCACCGACAGAUGAUUCUAGACAAAGGCUGUGUGUGUGUGUGUGUGUGUGUGUUGGGGGAUUAGUGGAGGCCCCCCGUGAGGAGGUGACACUGAGCUGAAAUUGGUGUGACCAGAAGGACUCCACCAGGCCAGCGUUCAGAGGAAGAGCUUCCAGGCAAAGACAACAGAAAAUGCAAAGACCCUGAGGUUGGGUCAUCAAGGUAAAACUGAUGCAUCGCGAAACGCCCAGAAGUUCGGUGGACCCCUCUGAGAUUGGACCGACACGUCCACGAUGCGUCCGAACUGCUUUCGGGCUGCGGGGCGUCACCCUCCACGCUCUUUGCCAGUCUGUCUCUACCUCCACCUGCCUAAGGGCUGCCAAAAUUCUGGCUUUUUCCACUAUCGAUUAAUUUUGCCAGUUUGUGUGUUGUUUUCCAUCUAUCUAUGUUUUUGCCGUGGUUUGUCCCAUGAUUGCUACGUGGUGUUCAUUUAAUGUUUCCCGUGUGAGGCUCUUAUAAAUAAAGCUGCGAUGAGCA